RNAcentral lists this long non-coding RNA (1009 nucleotides) under Suricata suricatta (meerkat). Its description in RNAcentral is "lncRNA (ENSSSUG00005002256.1)". Lineage: Eukaryota; Metazoa; Chordata; Mammalia; Carnivora; Herpestidae. The record is from RNAcentral.
UGGGGGGAUUAUAGCCCUUGAAAAGCUAAUGAAACUUCUGAGAUCUCUUAUAAAAAAGCAUAACAUUUUACCUUCACCUUCAGUAGCUUCAUUGAAGCCACGAGUCUGUGGCCCUCAGGUUCUGCGAGGGGUCUCCGGAAGACUGGUCCACAAAGCCUGCUAGCCCAUGUUCUUGGAAGGUCAUGUCUUUCCAGCCGAGACGGUUGAGCCUCACAUCUGGAGGCCUCAUCCACGUUAGCUGCUCCUCCUCCACCAGGACCAAGGGAACUCGGAUCGGCCGGGGGACCUGGGAGCCGGUGCUUGGCACAGCCCUUUGCCAUUUUACCUGUAACACAAAAUUUCAAAAUUGUGAACGGGAUUGGGGUUUCUAGAUUUUAGGCUAUCACAGAUGAAUAAGAUGCAGUAUAACAAAACACAAGAACAAAAACCCUGUUUUUAUAAGAUGCAUCUGUAUUUAUAAGAUGGAGACUUGACCUAGAAUUUCCAGCCUUUAUUUCCUCAAAUGAGUACACUUAAAAAGCAACAGCUAGUACUACUAUCCAUGACCACCGUGUUUUCAUAAAGGAAAGGAGGUUUGAGUGCCACACAUGUAUGAAGGAUGUGAUCUCCAAUGAAGGAUGGCCCUUUGAAGAACAUCCUAGAACUUUAUGGGGAAAGUGACCUCAUUCUUGUUUUUCUAAAGUCAUCCCAGAUGUGACGUAAUUGUCACGGACUUCCUCCGCCCUCAGAAGGGACUGGCAUUGGAUAGCGUUCCCUUUCCACUGUCUGUGCCCAUCUCUGACUUUUCUGCUCCCUCAUGAAAGAAGGGUGAUUGGCAUGUUAGGAAAAGUUGUGAGAGACUUUGAACUGGGCAGAAAAGAUUAUUAUUGGCUGUCCCGUCUGGUUCCCUCUGGAUUAUCUUUGUCUUCCUUUGUCUUUGAGUAAAACUGUAGAAGACUGAUAAGAAUGCAAAUGCUUUCACCCACAGAAAUACAAAUGGUAUCCAGCGGAAAUGCCACCAAUCAUUGCC